RNAcentral lists this ribosomal RNA (35 nucleotides) under Eriobotrya japonica. Its description in RNAcentral is "partial 5.8S rRNA". Lineage: Eukaryota; Viridiplantae; Streptophyta; Magnoliopsida; Rosales; Rosaceae. RNAcentral also lists the same sequence under 1 other name. The record is from RNAcentral.
GUUAGGCCGAGGGCACGCCUGCCUGGGCGUCACAC